Molecule: ribosomal RNA, 356 nt
Filed under: uncultured bacterium
Lineage: Bacteria
Description: bacterial SSU rRNA
Rfam family: Bacterial small subunit ribosomal RNA
Source: RNAcentral
AAUCAACGCUGGCGGCGUGCCUCAGACAUGCAAGUCGAACGCGAAAUUUCCCUUCGGGGAGAAAGUAGAGUGGCGCACGGGUGAGUAACACGUAGGUAAUUUGCCUUUGGGUGGGAUAACUCAGGGAAACUUGAGCUAAUACCGCAUAAUGCAGCGGCUCGACAUCGAGACAGUUGUUAAAGCGGGGGAGUUGGAGCAAUCCGACCUCGCGCCUAAAGAGAAGCCUGCGGCAGAUUAGCUAGUUGGUAAGGUAAUGGCUUACCAAGGCGACGAUCUGUAACCGGCCUGAGAGGGCGGGUCGGUCACACUGACACUGACAUACGGGUCAGACUCCUACGGGAGGCAGCAGUCGGGAA